GGAAGCGGCAGGGGGGAGGGCAGGCCAAGGCCCGCCCUGAAGGGCUGACUGUGCUGGGAGCACACAAGAAACACGCAGCAAGCCAUGGGCAGUCCAGCACUGACGUGGACGUGCCCUGGAUGUGAGCAGCUUCCCUAAGACAGAUUCCUUCCUUCGAGACAGAUGGAGAUGAGAGGAACAAAUUUAACAAAAGUAAAGCAGAGGGAAGAGGGUUAGUACAGUGCCGAUUGCUAGCCAGAUUGUCAAAAAUUAAACAAGAUAAUUGCCUUCAGUUCCAGCAAAAUUGUGAGGGAACUGGCUCCCUAUCAGCGGAAGGAUGAAUUGGCAUAGAUCUUUUUGGAAUUAAUUGUUGCAGUAUCCAUUAAGAAGUGGUUUUAUUCUUUGGAGAAGAAAUAUUAUACGUGCUCCUUAUUCAGCUGUUAUUAAUUAAGAUCCUAUUAAUUUAUUUCACUUCUUGUCUUGGUAAAAUUGAGGUCCACAGUUCCGUUUUUUACUUCUCAAGCCAACUAAUGAAUUUCCAGAGUCUGGCCUUAAAAAUGAAAGUCUACAUAGUUAAUAAAAGGAACCUAGAAAGAGUUUAAGAUGUUUCCUUUCCCCUGAAAUCACGGAGGGAAAGAUAUCGUUCUGAAUUAUAAAACUGAUUGAAGAAUUUGAUUUGAUAAGGUGUUGAAUUAAGA
This 677-nucleotide long non-coding RNA is filed under the name Equus caballus (horse). Its description in RNAcentral is "lncRNA (ENSECAG00000045476.1)". Lineage: Eukaryota; Metazoa; Chordata; Mammalia; Perissodactyla; Equidae. The record is from RNAcentral.